GUGGGGAAUCUUAGACAAUGGGGGAAACCCUGAUCUAGCCAUGCCGCGUGAGCGAUGAAGGCCUUAGGGUUGUAAAGCUCUUUCAGCUGGGAAGAUAAUGACGGUACCAGCAGAAGAAGCCCCGGCUAACUCCGUGCCAGCAGCCGCGGUAAUACGGAGGGGGCUAGCGUUGUUCGGAAUUACUGGGCGUAAAGCGCGCGUAGGCGGACCAGAAAGUUGGAGGUGAAAUCCCAGGGCUCAACCUUGGAACUGCCUUCAAAACUCCUGGUCUGGAGUUCGAGAGAGGUGAGUGGAAUUCCGAGUGUAGAGGUGAAAUUCGUAGUUAUUCGGAGGAACACCAGUGGCGAAGGCGGCUCACUGGCUCGAUACUGACGCUGAGGUGCGAAAGCGUGGGGAGCAAACAGGAUUAGAUACCCCGGUAGUCC
Molecule: ribosomal RNA, 425 nt
Filed under: uncultured bacterium
Lineage: Bacteria
Description: partial 16S ribosomal RNA
Rfam family: Bacterial small subunit ribosomal RNA
Source: RNAcentral